GAUGAACGCUGGCGGCGUGCCUAAUACAUGCAAGUCGAGCGAACAGAUGAGAAGCUUGCUUCUCUGAUGUUAGCGGCGGACGGGUGAGUAACACGUGGGUAACCUACCUAUAAGACUGGGAUAACUCCGGGAAACCGGGGCUAAUACCGGAUAAUAUAUUGAACCGCAUGGUUCAAUGUUGAAAGACGGUUUCGGCUGUCACUUAUAGAUGGACCCGCGCCGUAUUAGCUAGUUGGUAAGGUAACGGCUUACCAAGGCAACGAUACGUAGCCGACCUGAGAGGGUGAUCGGCCACACUGGAACUGAGACACGGUCCAGACUCCUACGGGAGGCAGCAGUAGGGAAUCUUCCGCAAUGGGCGAAAGCCUGACGGAGCAACGCCGCGUGAGUGAUGAAGGUCUUAGGAUCGUAAAACUCUGUUGUUAGGGAAGAACAAAUUUGUUAGUAACUGAACAAGUCUUGACGGUACCUAACCAGAAAGCCACGGCUAACUACGU
RNAcentral lists this ribosomal RNA (497 nucleotides) under Staphylococcus sp. 10-2. RNAcentral describes it as "bacterial SSU rRNA". It matches the Rfam family "Bacterial small subunit ribosomal RNA", at positions 28 to 506 of the family's 1533-position model. The record is from RNAcentral. RNAcentral also lists the same sequence under 1 other name. Lineage: Bacteria; Bacillati; Bacillota; Bacilli; Caryophanales; Staphylococcaceae.